CACGGACCAAGGAGUCUAACGUGCGCGCGAGUCGCGGGGUGUCCGUGCAGUUGGCGGCGUUCUUUCCGGGGGCGUCCGUUGGCUGCUCGUUACAAUACGAAACCCGUCUCGUUUUACGAAAGGCGCAAUGAAAGUGAAUUUUGGGGAAGAUGACGUUACCGAGAUCACGUUCCGUGCUCUUGUAGCGCGGCCGGUCGUCCGCAUUCCCAGGGCGUUCCAACGGCCCGGCGGCGUUGCGGAUCGUCGUUCCUUCGGGGGCGGCGGUCGGGCGUCGUCGAACCGGAGCGCACCUAUAGCGUGCACGUUGGUACCCGAAAGAUGGUGAACUAUGCCCGGCCAGGAUGAAGUCAGGGGAAACCCUGAUGGAGGUCCGCAGCGAUUCUGACGUGCAAAUCGAUCGUCUGAGCUGGGUAUAGGGGCGAAAGACUAAUCGAACCAUCUAGUA
RNAcentral lists this ribosomal RNA (445 nucleotides) under Planococcus minor. RNAcentral describes it as "partial large subunit ribosomal RNA". It matches the Rfam family "Eukaryotic large subunit ribosomal RNA", at positions 660 to 949 of the family's 3401-position model. Lineage: Eukaryota; Metazoa; Arthropoda; Insecta; Hemiptera; Pseudococcidae. The record is from RNAcentral.